ACUAGGCUGCCCCUUCCUGCGCCCCUGGCCUCCUGCCUCCUCAAUCCUCCGCCCCGGCGCCCCCUUCCCCACGACAUGGCCCCGGCGCCCACCCCGCCGUCACUGCGGUGCAGGCGGCCGCCGCCGCAUUCUUGAGCCUUGUCCCAUGACCCGACCCGACCCCCGGUGCUCACGCAGUCCACUUCUCUGCGGUCCAGGAACCUGACGCUGCAGGUGCAGGGGGUCGCCGCCGCCGCCGCCGUUGCAGGUCCAGGUCCUCCGGCCGCAGGUCCACGGGAUGUUGCAGCAGGUCCAGGGGCUGCCCCGACGCCGCAACAGGUCCACGGUGCCACAUGGAGCCGAAUAUUGCCUCCAAAUCAGAAGUGCCAAAAUUGAUCAGUAGCUGAAUUCUUGUGUCAAUGUGACAAUGUGUACAAACAUGGAUAAAGAGGCAGUGGAGUUUAAGAAUACUGGAGAUAUAUUUUGUUUACAUUCCAGUUUUCCCAGUAGUAUGGGCUUGUACUCUUCACUAUGUACAUUUUCUCACUAGAAUCAUAUUAUAUAUCACAUCAUGUGAACAAGUACGAUGUUUGUAAACUUCCUACAAAUAAUGCAGCUUGCUAUGAUUAUUAAAAUUAAUGGUUUGUGUGAUUUUGCAAUUUA
Panicum virgatum (switchgrass) is the source of this 642-nucleotide long non-coding RNA. RefSeq lists it as uncharacterized. The transcript has 3 exons. Lineage: Eukaryota; Viridiplantae; Streptophyta; Magnoliopsida; Poales; Poaceae. The record is from RefSeq and is a predicted model, not a curated record.